UUUUACCUGGACUGCACUUCUAAUAAUCUCUCCGGGACGAUCCCAAUCUCGCUCGGACGACUUUCAUCUCUCGAAUAUCUCAGUCUCGGGAUGAACAACUUAACAGAGGAAAUACCGUCAUCCCUUUACAAUCUAUCAGCCCUCAAGUCCUUAGCACUCCCUUAUAACCAACUCAAGGGAACUCUACCCUUGGAUAUCGGAAAUGCUCUUCCGAACCUUCAACUCCUUGUUAUGUCUUAUAAUGAGCUCAGUGGGCGAAUUCCAGCAUCCCUGUCCAAUGCUUCCGAGCUAAACUACCUUGAUCUAUCGUUCAAUGCCUUCCACGGCAUGAUACCCUCAAGCCUUGGAGCCUUGCAGAGUCUCUCGUGGCUCGGGCUGGACGGCAAUCGACUCGAAGCCAGGAAGCCUAGUGAUUGGAGCUUCGUUACAGCACUGACCAACUGCACCAGUCUCCAACUGUUGAACCUAGGAUACAAUCUACUUGAAGGCACGAUGCCCAAAUCACUAGUCAAUCUUUCCACUAGUCUUAAUACUUUGGCACUCUAUGACAACCAAAUAUCAGGAAUUAUACCUACUGAGAUUGAGAAGCUUAUCAAUCUAACUGCUGUUGAUGUGAGUGGUAAUGACCUUCGAGGCACCGUUCCCGUAGAAAUUAGUCAUCUUAGGCAAUUACAGUACUUAGAUCUGUCAAAUAAUGUGCUUUCGGGCAAAAUUCCUCCCAGUUUGGGCAACCUAACACAAAUAGACCAGCUCUAUCUCGGCAGCAAUGAAUUUGAAGGAGCCAUUCCGCCGACAUUAAGCAACAUGUUAGUGCUAGAGUUGUUAAAUCUAUCAAAAAAUAGGCUAAGCAGUAGCAUUCCUAAAGAAGUUUUGACACUUUCAUCUCUCACAAACUUCCUUGACUUGUCGCAUAAUUUACUAAACGGUUCAUUACCGUUGGAAGUGGGCAACUUGAUAAAUAUCGGGGUGCUUGAUCUCUCAAAUAACAGGCUCUCUGGUGAGAUUCCAGACACCAUUGGCAAAUGCACAAUCUUGGAAAUCCUUCAUUUAGAGAAUAACUUAUUUCAAGGGUCCAUUCCUCCCUCCAUCAGCAAUUUAAGAGGGCUUAAGGGGCUUGAUCUCUCAAAAAACUUCUACUCGGGCCAAAUACCCGCAUUCCUUGAAGAGCUCCCGGAUCUAACAUUCUUGAAUCUCUCCUUCAACAGUUUCGAGGGUCGAGUGCCAAUGAAAGGGGUUUUUAAGAAUUCGAGCGAAGUCUCGCUUGUCGGAAACCCUAAACUCUGUGGCGGAAUUCCAGAAUUACACUUGCCGAAAUGCACUUCGGGAGCCUUUGCAGCAAAACAUCACUCUGAUUAUAAACUUAAGGUAAUACUCAUUCCCAUAGGUGGAGCAAUUUUGUGUUUGAUUAUAAUCAUGGGCUUGCUUGGGAUACAUCACUUGAUAAAAAACUCCCGGAGAAAGCCACUGUCAAGGUUUUCCUUAAGAAACCGACACAAGAAAGUAUCAUACGAUGAGAUCUUCAGGGCUACAAAUGGGUUCUCCUCAGAUAAUCUGAUUGGCAUGGGAAGUUUUGGGUCGGUUUAUAAAGCCACCAUGAACUAUGAAAAUGUUGGCAUUGUCGCGGUGAAAGUGCUUAACCUUCAACAGCAUGGGGCUUUCAGGAGUUUUAUGUCUGAAUGUGAGGCCCUGAGAAGCAUUCGACAUCGAAAUCUUGUCAAAAUUCUUACAUCGUGCUCUAGUUUGGAUCACCGCGGUAACAAUUUCAUGGCCUUGGUAUUUGAGUACAUGCCUAAUGGAAGCUUAGAAGAGUGGCUACAUCCAAAUGCAUGCGAGAAUAGGCCAUUUAGAAGCCUAAGCCUAAUCCAGAGGAUGAACAUUGCUGUCGACGUAGCCUCGGCAUUAGAGUAUCUUCAUCAUGGAGGGUCCGUGCCGAUUGUUCACUGUGAUCUUAAGCCCGGCAACGUCCUUCUGGACAAUGAAAUGACGGCGCACGUGGGCGAUUUCGGGUUAGCAAAGUUUUUGCGGCAACCGCCUGACGAAUCAUCAGAGCGUUCAUCGACCAGCACUGUGGGAAUCAAAGGAUCUAUUGGUUAUGUUCCUCCAGGUGAGGAGUAUGCAAUAAAAUGCUAACUUUUUUCAUGCUUUACGGCAUUUUAGAAAAAAAUGCAACACAUUUUUAUCUGAUUCCUAACUAUACUAUGUCUAAUAUUUUUUGCUGCUCAGCAAAAAACAAGCGAAUAGCAUAACUUUAAUAAAUAAAAUGAUAAAUUGAGUGUACGAAUUAGUAGAAAAGGGGAAAAAAAUAUUGUAGGAAACAAAAAGGAUACUACAUAUUAGCUACAAAAACCGACAUACUAGAGUUAGAAUCAGCUGCUUGAUGCUUACUACUAAAAACAGAUUAUAUGAUUACUAAACACACAAGAGCAGAAACUUUAUUUAUGCAUAUGUAAUGCUGUUUUAGAGUCAAUUUAUAAACUAAAAGAUCAAAUGUAGUUUUUGUAACUAUGGCUUGGGAACAGUGGGAACCAAAUCCAAAUCGAAAUGAAUUCACCUGACAAUCUUGUGUUGUCUAUUUCCAAUUAACAUAUGUUGUGCAGAGUAUGGAAUGGGCUGUAAACCAUCUAGGCUCGGCGAUGUGUACAGCUACGGAAUUCUUCUGCUAGAAAUGUUCACUGGAAUGAGCCCCGUCGACGACAAGUUCAAAGAUGGACUGAGCCUUCGUGGAUAUGUUCGUGCUGCUGCUGCUUCUCCUGAACAUCUCAUGGACAUGAUAGACAGAAACCUGCACUCAGUUGAUCAAGCUUAUCACGAAGAGCGUGUGCAAGAUUGCAUAGUUUCGGUGUUCGACUGCGGUCUCACCUGCUCGAAUGAAUCACCACACGGACGAUGCGACAUGACGGAAGUCUCAAAGGUGCUGAGUGCAGCAAGAGAGAGGCUUCUUAGCUAAAAGCAGUUUUGCUCCCUAUGCCACGUUUCUUACUAGAGGCAAAUGAAUGUAUGUUUGAACAUCCUCUGCUUUUCCUUUUUUGCAUUAAAUAAAAACCUUUUGUAAUGAAAAUGCCUAGUCCUUAUGGUUUUGAUUACUCCUUUCUAAAAUGAGUACAUCCAAAGGGAGAUACCCACCUUAAAUUUUGCAUCUGUGUACAUUAAUAGCUCCAAAUUCCUAAUUUCUGGCUCAAGUUUAUAAUUGAAGCCUAAUAUAACCCAUUAUUACCAAAUCUGUGUUGAAUGCACUUUUCAUUUUCAACACAAUGCUCCAACCCUAUUUAGAAGGGUGUUAUUUACAAAUGUCUGGUAUAUACCUGCUACUAUCCUUCUAAGACAACACAGUUCUUUAUCCUAUUAAGUUGUUUCUUUUCGAUGAUAAGACAUUUGGAUCGACAAUCUGCACUGAUAAAUAUGAUUUUUGGUAUCAAAAGUGAAUCUAAUUUUUAAAGAUUAUUUUAUGGUUCAUCAUGCGGCCGCAGAAUGAAUUUCAAUAACAUUCUGAAAAUGAAUUAUAGGAUUCAUCAAUUUAAGAUCAAAGGUAUGAACCUUGAUCUGAAGUUAAUUUCAAACAAAAAUUCAAGCUUUGUAGACUAAAAUUGUCGAUUUUGAGAUGCUUCGAUCUGUACAUAAUGUCAGAAAAUAAUAGAAUUUAGUUCCCAGAGAGUUUAAUUUUAACGAAAUCCCAUUUUAAUAUUUGCCACCUAAAUUUGAAUGCUAGUUGUAAAAACUAGUUGCCACCAAAUCUUGAUAGUUGGUGGGGAUAAAUAGUUGCCACCGGAUAUUUUACCUUGGUGGCAAAAUAUUGUUGCCCCGAAUUAUUACAAUUUGGUGGCCAAUGGGAUCCUUUGUAGCAAUAUAUGACAACAAUUUUUGUCGACAUAAUAGAUAUUUGGUGACGACAUUUUUAUAUUCGAUGAUGAUUUUGGAUCCACUAGGUUGAGUUGGACUUAUAAAUAUCCUAAACUAAUGAAGGAAGAAAGAAGAAACUUUAAACUUAUGAAACUAUUAUAUACCAAGAAUAAAAAAACACUAAACAAAAAAAAUAUAGUCGGAGCAACAACAGUAGCAAACUCAAAAAAAGGAAAAAAGGUAAAACAAAAACAAUAACAAUAUCAACAGAAGAAAAAGAAGAAGAAGAAGAAGAAGUAGAAGAAUGAAUAUACUAAUAGAACAAAAAAUAUAUUUGUUGCUUUAUUUUAUUAUCCAUCUGCUAUUGCUAUUUUUCAAAUGGCUGUAGAGGGAGAAAAAAACAGGGGGAAAGCCUUCUGGGUAGGAGUAAGAAAGUUUCGAUAAACAUAGCGAUUAAUAGGUAUGUACAAAAAGAUAAGAGGAAGAGAGAAAGAAAGAGAGAAAAAUCCAACACCACAAUGCGACAAAAGAAGAGAAAAGGAGAAAGAGAAAGUAGACAAAUCCCGCGAUCAGCUAAAUACAUCUUAUAUAUUGUAUUUUUAAAACCUGAUUAUAAAAAUUCAAAUUCUAUAAAUUUUUAUAUAUAAACAUUUUAUAUAGUAUAGAUUGUAUUUAGCAAAAUAAAUUUUAUAAUUUUAUAAUAUUAAAUUUUAGAAAAUAAUUUAGUAUAUGUAAUGUACCAACAAACUGAAUGCUGACAAUAGUUUAUUAUAGUUGAAAAGAAAAAAUAAAAUGAUGGAUGAAAAAUAUUCCGUAUCAUCAGAAUGUAAAAUAAAUUUUAUAGUCUAUAUUUCUAAAAUAUUAUUGUAAAGAUUUAAAUUAUGUAAUUUUUUAUCCAUAACCUUUUAUAUGAUUUCUAUCGUAUAUAUUAAAUAUAAAUUUUUAUUUUAUAAUAUAAAUUAAUUAAAAAUACGCUGUAUGGUAAAAAAAAAUUAGAGAGAUCGACAAAGGAUGAGAGAGAGGAGGAGAUUCUAGAUGGUAAAUUAAAAAAAGGCCCCAUUCCACUCGGACGUGGAGAAUGGGAGAGAAAGGGGGGAAUUGGGAUGAAAAAAAAAAAAUAGUGGGCUCCAUCACAGCCCUCGUAUGUCCAAAUCAAUAUGGGAGCGUCAUGUUGAAUUUUAACUGGAGUUUCUAUUUCUAUAAUAAUAAUAAUAUGCAUAUAUGUUAUUACAGUUUAGAUUGCGUCUAUCGAAUUAAAUUGUAUAAUUUUGUAAUAUCAUAUUUUAAAAAAUUAAGUUAAGGGGAAAUGUUUCGUAUAUUGGGUGUAAAAAUAAAUUUUAUACACUGUAUUUUCAAAAUCUCAUUAUAAGAAUUUUAAUUAUAUAAUAUUUUACACAUAGCUUUUUAUACUGUUUAGAUUCUAUAUAUUAAAUCUAAAUAUUAAUUUUAUAAUAUUCGUCAGUCAAAAAUAGAUUAUACAAGUAAAAAAAUGAAAAAGAGAAUAAAGAGAAUAAAAGAGGAAAGAGAAUUGGAUAGAAAAAAAAGUUAGGCCUCACCCCACUCUCUCCACCCAGAUCAACGUGGAGAAUGGGGGAAGAGGGAAGAACCGAAGAAAAAAAAUAAAAAUAAAAAAAAAUAUAAAAAAAAAAAGAAAAAAGAUGGGCCUCACCCCAACCUGCUUUGCCCAAAUUAACGUGGAACCGCCACAUUGGAUUUUCACUUAAAUUUUAUAUAUAGAAGAUACUAGUAAUGUAUCUGUAUUUUGCUGCAGGUGCAUGGAUAUGUUUAUGAUUUUAUUUAUAAAAUAUAAUAUAUAUUAUUAAGUAUAUAUUUGUAUUAAUAUCUGAUUCCAAAAUAUAGGAUUUUGUUAUGAAUUUUAUUUGUAGGUAUAUUAGAUCCUUAGAGUUUCAUAAAUUUCAACAGUUUCUGAAGCACACCAAUGUUGGAGGAAUUAGAUAUAAUUUUUACAAAAUUUAGACUUCCAACAAAUAAUUGAUAAAAAGUGAAAGAAAUUUUUAAUUGAUUUAAUAGUUGAUAGAUAAUGAGAUUAUUAAAUCUAAUUAAUCUUCCAACCAAUUUUGAAAAAUAACUUACAUUGAAAUAAUUAAAGAUUGGUGAGAUAUUAAUCAAAUUAACAUAGUUAACGUGUCUUAUUCAAAGUAACUUUUAAUCGAACUCAUUGACUGCAUCAAAUAAAUAUACACAUUUCAUACAUAUCAGUAAAUUUGUAUAAUAGGAAUGACAAAAUAAAAGGUUAAUUAGUUCAAAUUAUUUUAUAGUAUUUAGAAUGUCUAUAUAUUAAUAUUUAUAAAUUUUAGAUAUAUUCACUAAAAUAAAACUAUAUUUUUUUAUUGUGUCCAUGAUGCAUCGGAUGCAUUAAUAGAAUGGACAUAUGUCCACAAACAACGCUCCGAUAAAUUAAUAUGAUUAAAAUCUCAAUAAUAAAAUUAAUUAAAUUUGUUAGAUAGUACUUUAAAUUUUUAUAUAUUAAAAAUUAUAAAAUUUAGAUUUUAUGAAAGGGAUAUUUGUCUAGAAAUGGAGGGUGCUCCACAAUGGAUAUGGGGCCUUUAGUGGAGUUCAUUGGUUGCACCUAGUGUACACAUGCUUCUCAUACGCACCAAUAAAUUUAUACAAUGGAGAUGUCAAAACUAAAAAUUUACUUAAUUCAAUUUAUUUUGUAAAUUUUAAAAUAUUUAUAUAUUAAUAUUUAUAAAUUUUAAAUAUAUUCACUAAAAUAAAGUUUUAUUUUCUUAUUACGUCCAUAGUGCACCGGGUGCACAUAUGGAAUGGAUGUGUAUCCACAAACACUACUCUCCAUCACAAAUUAUUGCGUGCACUUUUAGUGCAUGUGAUACAUACAGGCAAAUUUAGAUGAUAAAAAUGUCGAAAUAAAAUUUUAGAUAGAAUUGCCAAAAAUAAAAUUUUAGCAUAAAAUUUUAUUAAUUAAAUUUAUGUUAUAGCAUUUUAAAUAUUUUUAUAUUAAAAUAAAAUAAAAAUUGUUAUAGGAUCUAUGGUACACCAAGAGCAGCGUAAAUAUAGAUGGACAUAUAUCAACACAAAGAUAUUACCCCUUGCACUUUAGUAUAUAGAAAUAUGAUAAAAAUGUCAAAAUAAAAUUUUAGAUAGAAUUGUCAAAAAUAAAAUUUUAGAAUAAAAUUCCAUCAAUUAAAUUUAUAUUAUAGUAUUUUAAAUAUUUUUAUAUUAAUAUAAAAUAAAAAUUGUUAUAGAAUCUAUGGUACACCGAAUGCAACGUAAAUAUAGAUGGGACACGUGUCAACACAUAGAUAUUACCCCACGCACUAGUAAUAAAUAAUAGAUAAUAGAUAGACAGAUAAUAGAUACUAGUAUAGGAUCCGCGCUUUGCGACGGGUACAUAGUAUUUUAGUCAAUUAAUAUAUAUAUACAUAAUUUUUAAAAACUUAAAAUUGAAAAAACUUACAAUGAAAAAUACAAAAUGAACUUAAACAUCCUUUUAUAUAUUAUAAAAGCUAUUUUUUUACUAAUAUUUUUAACUUUCAGUCUUUACAGAGUUAAAGUAUUCUAAUAACUUUACUUAAAAGUUCAAUCAAACUUAAUAGUUUUAGUAGCUAUUUUAUAAAUAAAUUUUUAAUUUAAGAGUUAAAAUUGGAAGAAUUAUUCUAAAUUGCCAAAUAGAUAAAAUCGUCUUCACCUUACAAAAAUUUAUUGGAGAAAGAUGUUAUUAUUUGCACAUGAUGUAUAUUAACACACCAUAUACCCCAAUCUAUAUUAGAGAACUAAUUUCUAAUAUCAAAAUAUAAUUAAAUAUAUCUAAGCUAUGAAGUCUAAUAAUUUAAAUAUAUUCUGAUUUAAAUUUUAAACCACUAUUAGAGAUUUGAAGCAUGUGGUGUAUGUAAUUAUAUACAUUCAGUAUAAAGAAUGCUUAAUUAUGAACCGGGCUCUUUGAAAAGCUCUUUUUCAUAGUAAAAAAAAAAAGAGGAGAAAUUUUUGCUUGCACCUGAUAUAUACUAAUAUUUCAUACAUUGUAAGUAUAUUAGAUGAUUCAUAAAAUACCUAAUAGUUAGUAUUAUAAAAUAAAAUAUAAAAUAUAGUAUAAUAUAUAUUAUAAAAUAUAAAAUAUUUAGUAAUUUAUUAUAUUAUAGAAAUAUAUUUUUUAUUCACAUUUUAUAUCCGGUCUACGGUGCAAUUGGUGCGUCGAAAAUUUCUAUUGAAUAUGUGGCAUGUUUGUAUUAGCUAAAAGCUACAAUGGAGAGGUGGAAAAAGAAUUCAUACGAUGUGGAGGUGGGAAAAUGUGCCACGUAUACAGAGAAAACCGUCAAAUUAUGUAUUGGUAUGGAUUUUAAACCACUAUUAGAGAUUUGAAGCAUGUGGUGUAUGUAAUUAUAUACAUUCAGUACAGAGAAUGCUUAAUUAUGAAUUGAGCUCUUUGAAAAGCUCUUUUUUAUAGUUCUAAAAAAAAGUGGAGAAAUUUUUUCUUGCACCUGAUAUAUACUAAUAUUUCAUACAUCGUAAGUAUAUUAAAUGAUUCAUAAAAUACCUAAGAGUUAGUAUUAUAAAAUAAAAUAUAAAAUAUAGUAUAAUAUAUAUUAUAAAAUAUAAAAUAUUUAGUAAUUUAUUAUAUUAUAGAAAUUUAUUUUUUAUUCACAUUUUAUAUCCGGUCUACGGCGCAAUUGAUGCGUCGAAAAUUUCUAUUGAAUACGUGGCAUAUUUUUAUUGGCUAAAUGCUACAAUGGAGAGGUGGAAAAAGGAUAUGCGGAGAUGGGAAAAGGCGCCACAUAUACAGAGAAAACCGUCAAAUUAUGUAUUGGUAUGGAUUUGGAAUAUAUAGAUGUUUUGAGGAGAAAUGUCACGUCCAUAUGGAAUAUGGACCCCCGAGUUUUUUAUUUUGACAGCUAAACAUCCUAAACAUUAUCAAAUAAUUCAACAGCCCUUCCCCUCUAUGGAAGUUACUAAUUAGAUGUCCAUUUUCGACAAAUAUGUUGCUUGUGGUCUUACGAAGCUUCAAAAUAUAUUAAAAUCUGCCUUUUUUUUUUUAUUUUGACGCUUGAAAAAAGUAAUAAAUUAAAAUGAAAGAUGGAUUUAGUUUGUACAUUCUUCAACCCUUGUAUCUUAGUUUUAUCAUGAAAAGGGAAGAAUACUCUUUUUUUUUUGUGUUUAUGAAACUUUGCAAGAUUAGAUUUGUAAAACAGGUUACCAACAUGGCUUUUUAAUCAGUAACUUCUAUUGAAAAAAUUGACCAAUUAAACUAUUUGAUAAUUUUAGAAAAUCUAGUUGUUAAAUUAAAAAUUAGAGGGUCAUUUGACAAUCGUUUAAAGUUUAGAGUUUUUAUGCAUUAUUCCGUCCAAUUAGACAAGUGUAGAGAAUUAAUGACCUUCUAAUAGAGUAGAUGUAAGAUAUACACCCUAUUUUGCGGUAUAUUAUAGCACUGCUCGUUUUUUUUAGAAAAAAAACUAUUUAUACACUUUAAAAGGAGUGUAUAUUUUAUAUUUCACCCAUUCAAUGAAUGAAAUGUCACUUACUAAUCAUAUAAAGUGACUAGUAAAAAUAUCUCACCUAUUAAAUUGAUAAAAUGUAUAUUAUAUACUCAUUUUUUAUGUAUAUACCUAGCAUUUCUCUUUUUGGAAAAAUUAACAUCUAAUAAUUUGUUCUGUUUCGUCCACUAAUCUCCUUAUUUACUCCCGUCUAGUCUCCUCGUUUACUAACGUCACCGCUAAUGACGCCAACACGUCAACCCGUCACAUCAAAUAACGCCAACCCACUAAUCGCCCACCAAUUUCUUUAUCGCAGAGUGGACAAAAAUUCUAUAGGCAUCUGCCCCAAAUUACCUGUCCCCGCUAGGCCUGCGCCACCCGGUGUCCAUCCUCCACUGCCCUCUCAAUUUGGAGAGAGCAGUGGAACUUCCGGGUGCAUCUGGUGCAUCUAUACUAGGUGCACCAUAAAAUUAUUUUUUGAUUUUUAUUACUUUCAAUUUAUUUUGAAACCAAAUAGAGUGUAAAAUUUUAACUUCUAUAUGGUAACUCCUAAAAAAAUAAAUAAAUUAUUACAUAAAAGUAUAAUUUAAAAAAUUAAAAAUCAAGAAAUAAUUUUAUAGUGCACCUAGUAUAGAUACACCAGGUGCACUGGAAAUUUCCACUGCUCUCCCCAUGUUGGGAGAGCAGUGGUCCAUGGGCGCCGCGUUGCUCCUGUGCCACGCGGUGCCCAUCGGGGACCGGCCCCCCCCCCAAAUUAAGUAAUUUGGGGUCAGUACCCAUAGAAUUUUUGUUCCAACAGACGGCUGUAUUGAAAUAGCAAUGCAGCGCACGAAUUUACUAGUUAGCAGGUAGAUGCUUCUAGUUACUCACUUGGUACAUUUUUUUGCAAUGCACAUAAGUACAGCUACAAUUAGAUGGUCUUAGCUAUGCACUUCAUUCAUUUUUUACAAUGCAUGAAUAUUCAGCUACAAAUAGAGAUAGAUGCUUUUAGAGCUAUUCGCAUAACUAAAAUAUAAAAUAACUAAAUUUGGAAUUUAAAUUUUUAGGAUACUAACUAUUCACGUUUUUAGCCAACGAUCAUUAGUGACAUUUUGCAGUAAGUAUUGUGGUUCUAGGUACAUAAGAAGUUUCACACCACGGUAUUAGUGCCUUACUACAACUAUUGGCUUCUUGACUAAGCUUGGAACUUAGUUUAUUAUAUAUCCAGUUGCCACCAUCAAAUACCAGCGAAGAGCUGGGUGCUGCAGGGAUUGCUAUAGCUUUAGCUUUCUCUUGUCUUAGUCCAUAGAAUGGAAGGCUUCCAUGCACUAAUUUUUCUCAUCAUUCUACUGUAUGUCAUCUCCACCGCCCGGUGCGCCGCUCCCGGGAUAGAACAAGCUGCAUCCGACCGAGCGGCCCUCCUCUCCUUCAAGUCUCUCGUCGAGGACGAUCCGCUCGGAGCGCUCUCCUCGUGGAACAACGGCUCUCUCCACUACUGCAGGUGGCGCGGUGUCUCCUGCGGCCGCCGCCAUCCCAACCGGGUCACGGCCCUCGACCUCAAGUCUCUCCGCCUAACCGGUUUCGUAUCGCCCUCCGUAGCCAACCUCACAUUCCUCCAGAGGAUCGACCUGUCCGACAACAUGCUAGACGGGAGCAUCCCAGAGGAGCUAGGAAGCCUACGCCGGCUGCGAUAUCUCAACCUGAGUGUGAAUUCUCUUCGCGGAACGAUCCCGUCUUCGCUCGGCAAUUGCUCUAAUCUUCAACUACUCAACUUGACAGAUAAUAAGCUCAACGGUGAGAUCCCGCCGACCCUAUCACGUCUUUCCGGUCUUAGAGAGCUAAUGCUGCGUCAAAACAUGUUACAAGGGACGAUCCCUUCCAAUCUAACACAGUGUAAAGAGCUUCAGGCUGUCGAUCUAGGGAAUAACUUUCUCACAGAAGAAAUUCCAGGAGAGCUUGGCUAUCUCCAAAAGCUAACAUUCUUAGCACUCAGCUUUAAUAAUCUUACAGGAGCCAUCCCUGCUGCUUUGGGCAAUCUUGCUCGGCUUCAACGCCUUGAUCUAAAAUUCAAUAGCCUUUCGGGGUCCAUCCCGGAUUCACUUGGGAAUCUCUCUUCCCUAAUCUAUCUUUCUUUCGGCAAAAAUAACUUGUCAGGAGCCAUGCCUCCAUCCUUUGGUAGCCUUCCCUCCUUGAACAUACUUGAAAUCCAAGAUAAUAGCCUCACAGGAACCAUUCCGCCCACCCUCACAAAUCUCUCCUCUCUGAACAUGCUUUUGCUACGAGAAAACAAACUUCAUGGUGAAAUUCCCCACUUUGCAGAACUCCCAUUCCUCUCUCGACUGGACUGCUCUCAUAAUUAUCUCUCCGGGACGAUCCCAAUCUCGCUCGGACGACUUUCAUCUCUUGAAUAUCUCAUUCUCGGGAUGAACAACUUAACAGGGGAAAUACCAUCAUCCCUUUACAAUCUAUCAUCCCUGAAGACCUUAGAACUCCCUUAUAACCAACUCGAGGGAACUCUACCCUCCGAUAUCGGAAAUGCUCUUCCGAACCUUCAAGUCCUUCUUAUGUAUUAUAAUCAGCUCAGGGGCCGAAUUCCAGCAUCCUUGUCCAAUGCUUCUGAGCUCAACAACCUCGAGCUAGCGUUCAAUGCAUUCCACGGCACUAUACCGCCGAGCCUUGGAGCCUUGCAGAGUCUCUCACGGCUCGAAUUGUCCAGUAAUCUACUCGAAGCCAGGAAGCCUAGUGAUUGGAGCUUCAUUACAGCACUGACCAACUGCACCAGUCUCCAAGUGUUGGGUCUAGGAGGCAAUCUACUUGAAGGCAUGAUGCCCAAAUCAAUAGUCAAUCUUUCCACUAGUCUUUUUUUUUUGGAACUCGCCGACAACCAAAUAUCAGGAAUUAUACCAACUGAGAUUGAGAAGUUAAUCAAUCUAACUUUUCUUGACAUGAGUGUUAACGACNUACAAUCUAUCAUCCCUGAAGACCUUAGAACUCCCUUAUAACCAACUCGAGGGAACUCUACCCUCCGAUAUCGGAAAUGCUCUUCCGAACCUUCAAUUUCUUCUUAUGUAUUAUAAUCAGCUCGAGGGGCGAAUUCCGGCAUCCUUGUCCAAUGCUUCUGAGCUCAAUAUGCUUGACCUAUCGUUCAAUGCAUUCCACGGCACGAUACCGCCGAGCCUUGGAGCCUUGCAGAG
RNAcentral lists this long non-coding RNA (12460 nucleotides) under Ananas comosus (pineapple). Its description in RNAcentral is "long non-coding RNA (ACOM_LNC008452)". The record is from RNAcentral. Lineage: Eukaryota; Viridiplantae; Streptophyta; Magnoliopsida; Poales; Bromeliaceae.